AAAGGGGCUAAUAUCGCAUAAGCCUGAGAAGGGAAAGCAGCAAUGCGCUGAAAGAGGAGCCCGCGGCCGAUUAGCUAGUUGGUGAGGUAACGGCCCACCAAGGCGAUGAUCGGUAGCCGGCCUGAGAGGGCACACGGCCACACUGGCACUGAAACACGGGCCAGACUCCUACGGGAGGCAGCAGUGGGGAAUCUUGCACAAUGGAGGCAACUCUGAUGCAGCGACGCCGCGUGAGCGAUGAAGCCCCUCGGGGUGUAAAGCUCUUUCGGCAGGGACGAUAAUGACGGUACCUGAAGAAGAAGCUGCGGCUAACUACGUGCCAGCAGCCGCGGUAAUACGUAGGCAGCGAGCGUUGUUCGGAAUUACUGGGCGUAAAGAGUGUGUAGGCGGUGCUCUAAGUUCGGUGUGAAAUCUCCUGGCUUAACUGGGAGGGUGCGCCGAAAACUGGAGUGCUCGAGCGUGGGAGAGGAAAGCGGAAUUCCUGGUGUAGCGGUGAAAUGCGUAGAUAUCAGGAGGAACACCUGUGGUGUAGACGGCUUUCUGGA
RNAcentral lists this ribosomal RNA (545 nucleotides) under uncultured bacterium gp3. RNAcentral's name for it is "bacterial SSU rRNA". It matches the Rfam family "Bacterial small subunit ribosomal RNA", at positions 156 to 733 of the family's 1533-position model. The record is from RNAcentral.